GGGGGGACGCAGGAGGAUAGGGCGAGCAGGCGGCUGGAAGAGCCUGUCCAAGCAGUGAGGCUGGCCAGUAGGCAAAUCCGCUGGCCGGAAGGCCAAGCUGUGAUGGCGACGGAGUCAUCCGGAAGUCCCCGAUUUCACACUGCCAAGAAAAGCCUCUAGCGAGGGAAGAGGUGCCCGUACCGCAAACCGACACAGGUAGGCGAGGAGAGAAUCCUCAGGCGCGCGGGAGAACUCUCGUUAAGGAACUCGGCAAAAUGACCCCGUAACUUCGGGAGAAGGGGUGCUCUUUCGGGUGAAGAGCCUGGAAGAGCCGCAGUGAAAAGGCCCAAGCGACUGUUUAUCAAAAACACAGGUCUCUGCGAAGCCGAAAGGCGACGUAUAGGGGCUGACACCUGCCCGGUGCUGGAAGGUUAAGGGGAGCGCUGAGCGGAAGCGAAGGUGCGAACCGAAGCCCCAGUAAACGGCGGCCGUAACUAUAACGGUCCUAAGGUAGCGAAAUUCCUUGUCGGGUAAGUUCCGACCCGCACGAAAGGUGUAACGACUUGGGCGCUGUCUCAACGAGAGACCCGGUGAAAUUAUACUACCUGUGAAGAUGCAGGUUCCCCGCGACAGGACGGAAAGACCCCGUGGAGCUUUACUGCAGCCUGAUAUGGAAUUUUGGUAUCGCUUGUACAGGAUAGGUGGGAGCCUGAGAAGCCGGAGCGCCAGCUUCGGUGGAGGCG
RNAcentral lists this non-coding RNA (722 nucleotides) under Geobacillus sp. B4113_201601. Its description in RNAcentral is "bacterial LSU rRNA". It matches the Rfam family "Bacterial large subunit ribosomal RNA", at positions 1466 to 2188 of the family's 2925-position model. The record is from RNAcentral. Lineage: Bacteria; Bacillati; Bacillota; Bacilli; Caryophanales; Anoxybacillaceae.